Siniperca chuatsi (mandarin fish) is the source of this 2528-nucleotide long non-coding RNA. RefSeq lists it as uncharacterized. The record is from RefSeq and is a predicted model, not a curated record. The transcript is spliced from 3 exons. NCBI's taxonomy places the organism in Eukaryota, Metazoa, Chordata, Actinopteri, Centrarchiformes, Sinipercidae.
CAAGAAGUGAGAAAAAUAGUAAUUAAUGUGAGGUCACUGAGGUGGAGGAUGCUGUAUAUAUAAUUUCUAUUACUGUUUGUUUCUUUCUAUAUGCUCAUAUGGGGUGCUUUAAAAGGUUGUUGUUCAGCUUGUAGGACUCAUUACUUAAAAAUGUUGACCAGAGCAGCUUUAACCAUGGCAGCAAAACAGCCAUAUAAAUCUGUGUUGUAACUGUCUGUAAACAACGUUGUUCUGUUGAUUGAGGCGUCAGAUCAGAAAUGGCUCAUAUGGGGUGCUUUAAAAGGUUGUUGUUCAGCUUGUAGGACUCAUUACUAAAGACACAGUUAAUGUCAGUCUUUUUUGUGUGUUUCGGGAAUAAGCAAAUGUGCACACAAAAAAAUCAAUAAAUAUUAGCAAAAUAUAAGAUAUUGUAUUUUAGCCAGAUUGCCCAGUUCUACCGUUUGGUUGUGUUGAGCAGGGAAUGAGCAAUGGAUGUAAUAGGCGCCAUGGACCUGGAUGGGUUUUGUCUCAUGAGUCCCCCAACUUUAUGGAAACGCAAUACUAAAUUGCUGGAGUACCCUUUCAGUUCCUUUGUACUUGUAACUGACUAGACAUUAGAUUUCUAAUAUAUACAUAUAAAUAGUAUAAAAAUGAAUCUGUACUGUCAAUAAAAGACUUUCUAAGGAAGUAUUUCCUGCACAUUGUGUGUUGAUGUUGGGUUGAAAUGUAAGCAUUUGACAGACAGCUACACAUCUUACGUGUGUGCCAAUACUAUUGGUGUGUGUCAUUUGUAAAAGGCUAAUAUUUUGUUUUGGGGUUUCAGCUACUGGGCCUAGAAGACUAGAAGCCAUUGGCUCUAUAACUCAAACCCAUGAGUGAGGGUCAGUGAUGUAUUAAGAAAUUUGAUGUGCCCAUCCACCUGCAAGACAACUGGAAAGGAGGAGAAUCUCUGCACACCAGGCAGAGGGUGUAAGGAAGCCUGGAGCCUACACAAGUGUCUGUGCUGCAGGGAUGACCAGAUUAGACACUUGAUUUUCAUGUUUUGGAUAAAGAAACUGUAUUUUAUAUAUUAGUACUAUAUUUGUACUUUAUAUCCCAAAUUGUUCAGUGUAAGCUGUAAGAGCCAGAGAAUAUCACAGCUUUACAAAAUGGCAAAUACACAGCAGAAUAUAUUGACAAUACUGAAAGUUUUUGUACAGUCUAGGCCCACUGUACAGUUCUAUUGCACAGCUUAUUGGAUUCACAUUUCAGUUACGUUCCUGUUAAAUUCCAUCAAAUGUGAUUGAUUUAUAGCUUCACUCUGUAACUUCAGUUCUUAAUUUCAUUUCAAGUUAAUUUGUAUUGUCCUUGAAUUCAAAUUCUUCUUGCAGUCAGGUCUUGUUGUAAUUAGUCAAGCCAGGAAACAAUGAAUACAAUGGAAUAGGAUUGGCACUGAAUUGGCAGGCAAAAGCAACUCUCAGCAUGUAAGCAGUCCAAAACAGAACAAGUCCAAUGGUCAGCAGGUGGUGCUUGACAGUGAUAUAAUGAUGAUCUGAGAUAGGACAAAAGGAGUCACAGACUUCAAUACACGCAGCUAGGGGAGACAACGAGACACAGGUGAAACUGAUCAAGAAACAGUUGAAAACAAUCAAAGCGAUCAAAGACAGGAAGCAAAACUAAAAGACACAUGAGGGAAGGAAACUAUUUCAAAAUAAAGAAAACAGGAAAUGCACAAAAAACACAAACCCAAAACCAUGACAGGUGUAAAAUAAAAUAAAGUUGUAUAGUAGUCCUCUGCAGUGCAUCUGAUACAGAUUCUUCUCUUGUGAGAUUAUAAGUAAGACGUUUACUGGAGCCUGACAUCCUCUCAUGUGUUGCUGACCUUCCCCAGGUGCUGAAUUUAAACCCAAAGCGGCAGCACUCUGCUGCUAUUGCCAACCUUCCCCAGAAGCGGAAGUGGACCUCUGUGGCUUGUCCCUCCAAAGCUUCUGUUGAACAUCCAGAGGUGAUGAAUUUGGUUCCCACUCCUCAGCCCUUUACCCCAGCUGCUGCCACAACCGCUCAGUGGAAGAGUACCAGCAAAUCUACCACGAAGUGGUAGAUGACAUGCUGAGUUUCUGGCAGGAAGCUACAGCCCGAACCUCCACCUACAGCCUCUGCCAGGAACCUGCUUCUCCGCCUCCACCUGCAGAUUCUGGCAGAAAGCUGCAAUGUGAACCUCCACCUACAGCCUGUCCCAGUAAUUUGCAGCCGCCGCCUCCACCCGCAGAUUCUGGCAGAAAGAUGCAGCCAGAACCUCGACCUGCAGAGUCUGACAGAAAGCUGGAGUCCGAACCUCCACCUGCAGAGUAUGACAGAAAGCUGUAGCCGCCUACUUGCAGGCACACAGGACCAAACUGAACUGCCAACGCAGCUGAACAUCAUGGAUCAGGUGGCUAUCUAUGUUAACUUUGAGGGACCAUCAGGUAAUCCUGGCGAAAAGAAGAGUUUAGUAAAAUGUUCAGAAAGUAUUCAUGAAAAUGAAGACAAGAUCCACACUCAGCCAAACAGAACUGGACCUGCACUCUCAG